UACGUAGGGGGCGAGCGUUGUCCGAAGUUACUGGGCGUAAAGCGCGCGUAGGCGGCUUUUUAAGUCUGGUGUGAAAGGUUCAGGGCUCAACCCGAACAGUGCACUGGAUACUGAAAGGCUUGAGAUCGGGAGAGGAGAGUGGAAUUCCUGGUGUAGCGGUGAAAUGCGUAGAUAUCAGGAGGAACACCGAUGGCGAAGGCAGCUCUCUGGCCCGAUACUGACGCUGAGGUGCGAAAGCGUGGGGAGCGAACGGG
Molecule: ribosomal RNA, 254 nt
Filed under: uncultured Armatimonadota bacterium
Lineage: Bacteria; Bacillati; Armatimonadota
Description: uncultured Armatimonadetes bacterium partial 16S ribosomal RNA
Rfam family: Bacterial small subunit ribosomal RNA
Source: RNAcentral